This 726-nucleotide ribosomal RNA is filed under the name uncultured bacterium. Its description in RNAcentral is "bacterial SSU rRNA". It matches the Rfam family "Bacterial small subunit ribosomal RNA", at positions 47 to 762 of the family's 1533-position model. The record is from RNAcentral.
CUUAACACAUGCAAGUCGAGGGGCAGCAUAUAGAUUGCUUGCAAUUUAUGAUGGCGACCGGCGCACGGGUGAGUAACGCGUAUCCAACCUACCCAUUACUAGGGAAUAACCCAGCGAAAGUUGGCCUAAUGCCCUAUGUAGUCGUUUGAUCGCCUGAGAUUUCGACGAAAGAUUUAUCGGUAUUGGAUGGGGAUGCGUCUGAUUAGCUUGUUGGCGGGGUAAAGGCCCACCAAGGCGACGAUCAGUAGGGGUUCUGAGAGGAAGGUCCCCCACAUUGGAACUGAGACACGGUCCAAACUCCUACGGGAGGCAGCAGUGAGGAAUAUUGGUCAAUGGGCGAGAGCCUGAACCAGCCAAGUAGCGUGCAGGAUGACGGCCCUAUGGGUUGUAAACUGCUUUUAUAUGGGAAUAAAGUGAGGGACGUGUCCCUUAUUGCAUGUACCAUACGAAUAAGGACCGGCUAAUUCCGUGCCAGCAGCCGCGGUAAUACGGAAGGUCCAGGCGUUAUCCGGAUUUAUUGGGUUUAAAGGGAGCGUAGGCUGUUUGUUAAGCGUGUUGUGAAAUGUAAGAGCUCAACUUUUAGAUUGCAGCGCGAACUGGCAGACUUGAGUGCGCACAACGUAGGCGGAAUUCAUGGUGUAGCGGUGAAAUGCUUAGAUAUCAUGACGAACUCCGAUUGCGAAGGCAGCUUACGGGAGCGCAACUGACGCUAAAGCUCGAAGGUGC